CUCCUGCCUCAGCGUCCUGAGUGCUGGGAUUACAGACAUGAGCCAGUACGCCCAGCUUCCACAAAUGAGCUUCUUAAUCUAAUGUACUUUGAAUUCUUUCAGAUUGAUGUCCAGUUCUUUGAAAAUAGCAGACCCAC
Molecule: long non-coding RNA, 137 nt
Filed under: Fukomys damarensis (Damara mole-rat)
Lineage: Eukaryota; Metazoa; Chordata; Mammalia; Rodentia; Bathyergidae
Description: lncRNA (ENSFDAG00000023456.1)
Source: RNAcentral